CAAAAGUUACUUAAUAGGAUUAUGAAAAUUGUCGAUAGAGGAUUAAAAAGGCAGGAUGAAUUGCUUUUACAAAAAAUGGAGAAAUAUUGGAAGUCAUUUCAAGAGAGAAUGGACAAAUUGGUUGAAGCAAUUCAAGUGGCAAAGGAGAAUGUUGCAGUCUUCGAUAAUGAGGAUCUACUUCUUGAAAAGUCAAGUGAAGAACAAGAUGCCCUUACUGAAACUUCGAAUAAGGAAGACAAGUGCAUUGAUGUGGGGCAGGAGCAGGAGCAGGAUUUUGUUUUUGAUUUGUCUAGUGCAAGAGAGGAAUAUGAGGAGGAGAAGGAUAAAGAUGGUGAUGAUUGUAAACUAGAGUUGACAAUGGGGAAUGCAGAAGCUAAGCCUGAAAUUCUUGCUGCACAAACUUUUGGGGAUUUUCCUGAAAACAAGAAAGAUAAAGGAGCUACAAACAAUGUGGUUACUGAAAGCAAGUGGCAGAAUUUUAGGAGCCAAGAUGGUGAGUUCAGCUGUUGUAAUCCUAUAAGUCUCAUAGAAGACGAAUGGGAAAUAUCAAGAAGGGAA
This 558-nucleotide unclassified non-coding RNA is filed under the name Hevea brasiliensis (rubber tree). Lineage: Eukaryota; Viridiplantae; Streptophyta; Magnoliopsida; Malpighiales; Euphorbiaceae. The record is from RNAcentral.